UGGUACCCUGACAAAUCCUGCCACAAACAUUGGGACCUAAAGCGGUUAUCAGUGACAAGUGCAGGUAAAUUAGUCAGAACACUCGGUUAUCUGCUACCUGCUGUUAUUUCUAAGCGCCACAUUCGUUUCAGGUGCUCCUACCUUUCUAUGUUGCGCCAAAAAAUCGUGGAUCUCAUCAGAAUUAAUCUUUUCCCACUCUCUGCUUCGUUAUUUCUUUCUCUUUCUAGUUCGAUUUCCAUUGUGCUUUCAGGAUGGAAUCACUAAAUAAUGAGACUAAAUCGAUUUCUAGACUCUUUAUUUCCCACCUGCGGCAGCUCUUCCUUCACAUUUUUAAAUCUUGGAUGUAAAAUUUGGGUCAACCUGUGAUCCUAAAGAGUAUUAUUACUUUGGCAGGUAGAAUUAACCAUCUGAGUGAUGAUGGGUCUUGCACCAACAGUGCUUGCCAGCGUUCCGCUCCAGGAAAAAAUCCGAGGUCAGAACUGACAAAUGUUGAGAAGGAUGAUCCUGAUGCGAAAAUGCAACGGACCUGCAUCAAACUGGUAAUGCUUGGUACACAUUCUCACGUUUUGCAGUAUAAUGUGACAUACAUUCAUUUUGACCGAGACUUGUGCGAACUUUAAUAUAUGGACACUUGACUGAAGAACUUAAGUUAUCGUCAGCCUUCUCAAGUUGCACUCUCACAACUCUUGUACUGCACAAACAAGCCGGUCCAUUGUAUGAAAUGAUAUUAGCUUUCAACUUUCAAGCUUGGUAGGGUACUGCUUUUUUUCCUGGAGAAAAUGCAGCUAGAAGGUUUUUUCAGUAGUAAAUUUUGGACUGAAUAAAGAGUAGAGCUUCCAUACUAUCACGAGUACUUAGCUUGCAAGCUUUGUAGGGUAAUGCUUUUGCAGAAGGCCUAUCUUGCUUAUUACAUAUCUUUACAGAAGCAAAACUCAAGACAUUUUCUCUCUCUGUAGGAUAAGAUAAUGCAUGAAAACUUAGGUUACUAAUCUUUUCAUGGUCUUUUUUGGGCUGAGUAAAAGUACCACAGUUUCUUUCUGCUGGAUUCACACAUCUCGUAACCAGUAAGCAGCUUCUGUCUUUUGGACACUUCUAUUCUAACUGGUGAAAUCAAUACUUGGUGGAGUGCAGGCUGAAGCUGGAUUUUGCACGGUGAACUAGACGGGCUAAUCGUGUGGUGGCAGUGUCCUUACUUCUGGUGCUCCUGUCUACGUGUAGAGACAUGUCCAUUAGCUUCCGAAUGCUGUUGGAGAACACUAUUAGGUUGUUUUGCUACUAUUUGCACUAUGUUAAAUUAAUUAACUCGAGUCUUGCAAGUCUCAUAGCCAGAGCAUCUAUUCUGUGUAAGCUCCCGCGUGAAUUGUGUCGGAUUGGUUAGCUUUUCAUGUGUGACCUUAUCAGUUACAGUAUCCGCUAGUUCUAAAUUCUGCCUGUCAGACGGUACUGUUGCUGUCCCCUUUGCUGAAAUCAAUUGAAGAUAAGGUGUCUUGAUACUUCAUCAGAAAGAAAAAGUGAUUUGGCAAAUACGUACUUUACUGAGGGGGCAUUGCUAUUUCUUAGUACAAAAAGACUUGUCUGAAUGUCCAGUUGAUAGAUGUGACUGAAUUCGUACUUUACUGGGGGCACGCAAGAUGGUGCAUUCAUCUUGAUCAUAUUGGAACACAGGAACACAGAGAUUCCAUGCAGGAACGAGAGAAAGCAUAGGAAACACACAUCCGUAUGUUUGUAUACGAAACUGACGGGUCUGUCAAUAUGAUCAAGACGGGCCCUGUCACGGUGAAGGAAUAUCCAGGAAAAUCCCCGUUCGGUUUGUGGGAUACGAAACACAGGAACGAGAGAAAACAUAGGAACCGAGAAGGAUUGUAUUGAAGUGAUGGGACAAAAAACAUAGGAAAGUUGUCAAAAUGGGCGUUCAAGUGGCCAUAGAAAAGCACCGCGUUAACGAAAAAGGAUUUCCCCCGCUUUGUAUUACAAAGCAACCAACCAGAACAUCCGAUGAUAGAUGCUGGAACAGAAACAACCCAGUCACGCUCAAAAGAAAUGAUUUUUUUUUACAAAAGAAACAAAUGCCGACACCGGCGGAUCGACAAAAGACACAAAAGUCUCGCGAACGCUGCGCCAACCAAGAGUCUUCCACCAAGCUCGAGGACUCCGAAGCACCUGUGCCCAUCAACACCUCCAAAAAGGAAUGCGACGAUGACGACGCUACUGCCAAGGGUUUCCUCCGGUACGUGACGAGGCGCGAGGAAGGGUAGCCCCGACACCCUCCAAGAAGGUUCGGCGACACCCAAAGGCGUCACCGAUAGGGGUUUCCCCCGAUCCCAACCUACACCUCGGGCGCUUCGGAACCUGCCACCAAACCGAACUACACCCUGCACCAACACAGUCUUGAGGUCCCUGUGCCGUCUCACCACGAUACCGUAAGGAGAAGCCUGCACAACGAUGAAGAGGAGCCGGGACUAGGAGCAGCAUCACCGUCGGCACGCGGGAGGGCUCAACCUCCACCGUCAACGACGGUAGCCGACCGGACGCAAUAGCAGGAGCAUACCAGGCCCGUGGGCCCACAGGCCCGGCCGGGACCCCCCGUAAAGCUCCCGCCAUCAUGCUGCAACAGGCGCGCCGUCGAUGACGCCUCCCCCAGUCCAAGCUGCUGCUCCUCCCGACCAUGCAGAAGACACCGCAGCCACGCUGGGAGCCGGCCCGCUAGGACCCAGAUGGGCCUCGCAGGGCCUAGAUCUGGGCCGGGGGCGCGCAGCCAGCCACCCCGCACCACCACGCCCCUACCGCCACCUCUCCCGUUGUCGGCCACCACCACCGGAUCACCGGACCGCAACCGACCGAGCUGCACCACCGCCGUCCCGUGCCCCGGGAAGCGGUAACGCGCGCGCGGGGAAAGGAGGGCCCGCCGCCUCCGGCACCACCCGGGCUAGCGCCGGUGGUGCCUGCNNNNNNNNNNGGCGGCGCGCGCGGGGUUGGUGCCUGCCGGUGGCGGCAGUGAGGAGACGAAGGGGAAAGAGCCCGCGGGAAAGGAUCUCGCGUUCCGCCCCGGCCAUCUCCCAGGGAGGCGGCGCGAGGGCGGAUCUGGGAGGAGGGGGAGGGAGGACGUGGACGGGGAGGGGGAGUCUAACGAGAAAUCGGUACGUUGAAAGGAGACUAUUCUUGACUUGAUACUCCCGACAACAACGCCAAAAAUCCCCGGCGGCCUCUUGAGCUUGCGUUGGUUUUUCUCUUGAAGAGGAAAGGGUGAUGCAGCACAGGAGCAGUAAGUAUUUCCCUCAGUUGAGAACCAAGGUAUCAAUCCAGUAGGAGAAUCAAGCAAAGUUUCCAGAGUACCUGUGCAAACACAAACGAGCUUGCAGCCAACACUAUAAAUGGGUUGUCAAUCCCUUCAAGAUUGAUUGCAAAGUGAGAUCUGAAGGCGGAAAGUGCAACGAAGUAAAAGUGUAAGGCUGAAAAUAUGAAGUGAAGUAGACCCGGGGGGCCAUAGUGUUCACUAGAGGCUUCUCUCAAAAUAGCAAAUAUUANNNNNNNNNNNNNNNNNNNNNNNNNNNNNNNNNNNNNNNNNNNNNNNNNNNNNNNNNNNNNNNNNNNNNNNNNNNNNNNNNNNNNNNNNNNNNNNNNNNNNNNNNNNNNNNNNNNNNNNNNNNNNNNNNNNNNNNNNNNNNNNNNNNNNNNNNNNNNNNNNNNNNNNNNUCUGCAUCUACUACUAUUACUCCACACAUCGACCGCUAUCCAGCAUGCAUCUAGUGUAUUGAGUUCAUGACAAACAGAGUAACGCCUUAAACAAGAUGACAUGAUGUAGAGGGAUAAACCCAAACCAAUGAUGAAAACCCCAUCUUUUUACCCUUGAUGGCAAUAACAUGAUGCGUGCCUCGCUACCCCUUCUGUCACUGGUGAGGUCACCGCACGGUAUGAACCCAAAACCAAGCACUUCUCCCAUUGCAAGAAUCAUAGAUCAAGUUGGCCAAACAAAACCCACAACUCGAAGAGAAUUACAAGGAUAUGAAAUCAUGCAUAUAAGAGAUCAGAAGAAACUCAAAUAAGAUUCAUAGAUAAUUUGAUCAUAAAUCCACAAUUCAUCGGAUCUCGACAAACACACCGCAAAAGAAGAUUACAUCGGAUCGAUCUCCAUGAAGAUCAUGGAGAACUUUGUAUUGAAGAUCCAAGAGAGAGAAGAAGCCAUCUAGCUACUAGCUAUGGACCCGUAGGUCUAUGGUGAACUACCCACGCAUCAUCGGAGAAGUCAUGGUGUUGAUGAAGAAGCCCUCCGUAUCCGAAUCGCCCCUCCGACAGGGCACCAGAACGUGCCCCAGAUGGGAUCUUGCGGAGACAGAAGCUUGCGGCGGCGGAAAAGUAUUUUCGUGGAUCUCUCCCAUGGUUUCAGAUUUUUAGGGAAUUUACAGGAGGAAGAAGUAGGGCAGGGGAGCCACGGGGAGCUCACAAGCCUGUUAGGCCCGCCCCCUAGACCGGGCCUGGUGGGCUUGUGACCUCCUCCGAGGUCACCUGCCUUGGUUCUCAAGUCUCGUGCGUGUCUUCUGUUAUGGAAAAAAAUCAUUCCGCAGGUUUUAUUCCGUUUGGACUCCGUUCAAAAUUCUCCUAUGAAAAGGGUCAAAAACACGGAAAAAAUAGGAACUGGCACUGGGCACUGAGUUAAUAGGUUAGUCCCAAAAAAGAUAUAAAAGGCAUACAAAACAUCCAAAGUUUGACAAGAUAAUAGCAUGGAUCCAUAAAAAAUUAUAGAUACGUUGGAGACGUAUCAAGCAUCCCCAAGCUUAACUCUUGCUCGUCCUCGAGUAGGGAAGUGAUAAAGACUGAAUUUUUGAUGUGGAAUGCUACUUAGCACAGUUGUCCUUUGUAACUUCUUUCAUGUGACAUGAAUGUUCAGAUCCGUAAGAUUCAAAACAAUAGUUUGCUAUUGACAUGAAAACAAUAAUACUUCAAGCAAACUAGCAAGGUAAUCAUGAACUUUCGAAAUAACAAGGCCAAAGAAAGUUAUCCCUACAAAAUCAUAUAGUCUGGCUAUGCUCCAUCAUCCCCACACAACUAAUUUAAAUCAUGCACAACCCCGGUAUUGGCCAAGUAAUUAUUUUCACACUCUUACUUUCUCAAACCUUUUUCAACUCUCACGCAAUACAUGAGCGUGAGCCAUGGAUAUAGCACUAUGGUGGAAUAGAGUGUGGUGGAGGUUGUGAGACAAAAAGGAGGAGAUGGUCACAUUGACUCGGCGUAUCAAAGGACUAUGGAGAUGCCCAUUAAUAGAUAUCAAUGUGCAUGAGUAGGGAUUGCCAUACAACGGAUGCACUAGAGCUAUAAGUAUGUGAAAGCUCAAAAGUAGUACUAGUGAGUGUGCAUCCAACAUGCUUGCUCACGAAGACCUAGGGAAAUUUUGAGGAAGCCCAUCAUUGGAAUAUACAAGCCAAGUUAUAUAAUAAAGAUUCCCACUAGUAUAUGGUGUGACAAAACGAGAGGCUCUCAAUCAUGAAGAACAUGGUGCUAAUAUGAAGCACAAGUGUGGAAAGAGAUAGUAGCAUUGUCCCUUCUCUCUUUUUCUCUUUUUUUUUGUUUGGGCUCUUUGGCCUCUCUUUGUUUCUUUCUUUCCUCCCUUUUUUUGUGUGUGGAACUUUGGCCUCUUUUUUAUUUAUUUCCUCACAUGGGACAAUGCUCUAAUAAUGAUGAUCAUCACACUUUUAUUUACUCACAACUCAAAGCUUAGAACGACGAUGACUCUAUAGGAAAUGCCUCCAACAGUGUACCGGGAUGUGCAACGAUCUAGCUUGGCGUAUGACGUUGAAACAUAUCGCUAGCUAUCUUACGAUCAUGCAAUGGCAAUAUGAGAGUGACGGCACAAGUCAUGAGACAGAAUUGUGGGAGUUGCAUGGCACUAUAUCUCGGAAUGGCUAUGAAAAUGCCAUAGUAGGUAGGUAUGGUGGCUGUUUUGAGGAAGGCAUAUGGUGGGUUUCUGCACCGGCGAAAAUUGUGCGGUACUAGAGAGGCUAGCAAUGGUGGAAGGUGAAAGUGCAUCUAUACCAUGGACUCGCAUUAGUCAUGAAGAAUUCACAUACUUAUUGCGAAAGUUUUUAUUAGUAAUCGAAACAAAAGUGUUAAACGCAUACUCCUAGGGGAAGGGUUGGUAGGUGUUAACCAUCGCGCGAUCCCGACCGCAACACAAAGGAUGACAAUCAAUAGAUCAAUUAUGCUCCAACUUCCUAACAUAGCGGUUCACCAUACGUACAUGUUACGGGAAUCACUAACUUCAACACAAGUAUUUCUAGAUUCACAACACCCUACUAACAUAACUCUUAAUAUUACCAAAUCCAUGUCUCAAAACUAAUUGAGAGGAAUCAAACUUCUCUUCUACUCAAUGCACAUGAAGAUGGAAGUUUUAUUGUAUCCUCUUUGGAUACCUAUCACCUUUGGGACUACUUUCAUAGCACAAGCGAACUACCAAGUUACGCACCGUCGUGCUCUAAAAAGUCUAAGUGAAGCACAAAGAGAAACAUUGCCUAGCUCAAAAGAUAUAAGUGAAGCACAAUGAGUAUUCUAGCAAAUUCAUGAUGAGUGCGUGUCUCUCUCAAAAGGUGUGCAGCAAGGAUGAUUGUGACACAACAAAAAUAAAAGACUCCUAAGAUACAAGACGCUCCAAGCAAAACACAUAUCAUGUGGUGAAUAAAAAUAUAGCUCCAAGUAAUGUUACCGAUGGAUUGAAGACGAAAGAGGGGAUGCCUUCCUGGGGCAUCCCCAAGCUUAGGCUUUUUGGUGUCCUUGAAUUUGGAUUGGGAUGCCUUGGGCAUACCCAAGCUUGAUCUCUUUCCACUCUUUAUCCCUUUGUCCAUGAGAACAUCACCCAAAACUUGAAAACUUCAUAACACAAAACUUAAACAGAAACUCGUGAUAUCAUUAGCACAAGAAAACAAACUACCACCUCUUUAGGUACUGUAGAAAUCUUGUUUCUAUUUAUAUUGGUGUUAGGUUACUGUAUUCUCACUUUUCCAUGGCUAGUAUCCACCGAUACUAUCCAUAGUUUCAUCAAAACAAGCAACCAACACAACAAAAACAGAAUCUGUCAAAAACAGACCAGUCUGUAGCAAUCUGUAUACUUUUGGUACCUCAAAAAUUCUGAAAAAUUACGAAAGCCUGGGAAAGAGGCAUAUAAACUAGCAGAAAAAAGAAUUAACUCAAAAGCUGUUUCUGAAUAAAAAUGAAAAAUAAUUUCGUGAGCGAAAAGUUUCUGUCUUUUUCCAGCAGGAUCAAACAACCAACACCAAACUAGUCAUAAAGGUUUUGCUUGGCUCAAACACAAAAAGAAACACAAAAAACACAAUCAUAACAGAAUUAUGAUGGUGUGGACGCAACAAAACAGAAAGAAAAAGAUAAAUUCAUUGGGUUGCCUCCCAACAAGCGCUAUUGUUUAACGCCCUUAGCUAGGCAUAAGGUGAUAGAAUCACGUAUCGUCGUCUUUGGUACUCAAACCAUAAGUAGCCCUCAUCAUGGAUUCAUAAGGCAAUAUUAUUUUAUUUCUAGGAAAAUGCUCCAUUCCCUUAUUUAAAGGAAAUUGAAAUCUAAUAUUUCCUUCCUUCAUAUCGAUGAUAGCACCAAUAGUCCUUAGGAAAGGUCUACCAAGAAUGAUAGGGCAUGUAGGAUUGCAAUCAAUGUCAAGCACAAUGAAAUCCACGGGUACAUAGUUCCUAUUUGCAAUAAUAAGAACAUCAUUGAUCCUUCCCAUGGAUUAUUGAUAGUAGAAUCCGCAAGAUGCAAAUUAAUAUAACACUCCUCAAUCUCAUUAAAGCCUGGAACAUCACAUAAAGACUUUGGAAUCGCGGAAACACUAGCACCCAAAUCACACAAAGCAUUGCAUUCAUAGUUUUUGAUUUUGAUUUUGAUAUUAGGUUCCCACUCAUUAUGAAGCUUUAUAUAUAGGAAUAGAAACUUCGAACUCAAGUUUCUCUUCAAGAGAUUUUAUCAUAGCAUCGACGAUAUGAUCGGUAAAUGCCUUGUUUUAGCUAUAAGAGUGUGGAGAGUUUAGCAUGGAUUGCAUCAAGGAAAUACAUUCAAUCAAAGAGCAACUAUCAUAAUUGGAUUCCUUGAAUUCCAAAGUAGUAGUUUCAUUACUACUCAAAGUUUUUAUAUCUUCUACUCCACUUUCAAUGCUUUUAGCAUCAAGAUAGAUGGACUCUGAAUCAUUGGGGCGUUUUUCAACCAAAGUGGAUUCAUAUCCAGGCCCAUCAUCAUUAGGUUUGGUACCAGAAAACAAGGAUUCAAUGGGAGUCACACCAAGCACUUUAAGAUCUUCGUGAUUCUUAUCACGAGAACACGCCUUUUUAAGCCAUUCAUGUCUAGCAUGAAAUUGGGCGGUUCUUUCUUUUCUCUCGUUCAUGGAAACACGCAUAGCUUUCAAAGUUUCAUCAAUAUUGAUCUUGGGAGGAGCACAUCUAACUUUCAAAGCAUCAAUAUCAAUAGACAUUCUAUCAACGCUCCUAGCCAAAUCAUCAAUUUUGAGUAGUUUUUCCUCUAUGGACGCAUUGAAGAUCUUUUGCGAGUUGAUAAACUCUUUGAUAUUACUCUCUAGAUCAGAGGGUAAUUUAUUGUAAUUUCCAUGAGUAUUGUUGUAGGAGUUUCCAAAGUUAUUAGAGGGGUUACUAGGAAAAGGCCUAGGAACAUAGUUUCCUCUAAAAGCAUUGUUGUUGCCAAAAUUAUUCCUACCAACAAAAUUAACGUCCAAGCUCGCAUUGCUACUCUCAAUCAAGGUAGACAAGGGCACAUCCUUAGGAUCUAAAGGAGCACUUCUACUAGCAAUCAAAUUCAUUAACUCGUCCAUCUUAGCACUCAACGAGUUAAUUUCUUCUAUAGCGUGUACCUUUUUACUAGUAGGUGACCUUUCAGUGUGCCACUGAGAGUAGUUUGUCAUGAUAUUGUCUAGCAGUUUUGUGGCUUCUCCUAAUGUGAUUUCCAUGAACGUUCCACCUAAGGCGGAGUCCAAGAUAUUUCUAGAAGCGAAAUUCAAGCCAGCGUAAAAUAUUUGUAUAAUCAUCCAAAGACUCAAGCCAUGAGCGGGACAAUUUCUAAUCAUCAAUUUCAUUCUCUCCCAAGAUUGUGCAACAUGUUCAUGAUCAAGUUGCUUAAAAUUCAUGAUAUCAUUACGGAGAGAGAUAAUUUUAGCCGACAGAAAAUACUUGGAUAUAUAAGCAUCUUUGCACUUGUUCCAAGAAUCAAUACUAUUUUUUGGCAAAGAUGAAAACCAAGUUUUUGCUCGAUCUCGCAACGAGAAAGGAAAAAGCUUCAAUUUAAUCACAUCAUUAUCCACAUCUUUCUUCUUUUGCAUAUCGCAAAGCUCAAUGAAGGUAUUAAGAUGGGAUGCUGCAUCUUCACUUGGAAGGCCGGAGAAUUGCUCUUUCAUAACAAGAUUCAGCAAAGCAGCAUUGAUUUCGUAUGAUUCUGCACUAGUGGCGGGUGCGAUCGGAGUACUAAUAAAAUCAAUAUUAUUAGUAUUUGAGAAGUCACAAAGUUUGGUGUUUUCAGUCAUGGUGACUUCAGCAAGCACACAAGCACACAAGCGAACAGAAAGCAAGCGAGAGAAAAGGGCGAACGAAAAAGGCAAACAAAAAAGGCAAAUAUUUUUGUAAUUUUUUUUCAGAAGUGGGGGAGAGGAAAACGAGAGGCAAAAAAGUAAAUGCAAGAGAUGAGUUUGCGACACUUACUUGGAUGAGCUUCACCUAGAACUUGAUCCUCCCCGACAACGGUGCCAGAAAUAGGCACGUUGACGGGAGACUAUUCUUGACUUGAUACUCCCCGACAACGACGCCAAAAAUCCCCGGCGGCCUCUUGAGCUUGCGUUGGUUUUUCCCUUGAAGAGGAAAGGGUGAUGCGGCACAGGAGCAGUAAGUAUUUCCCUCAGUUGAGUACCAAGGUAUCAAUCCAGUAGGAGAAUCAAGCCAAGUGGCCAGAGUAUCUGUGCAAACACAAACGAGCUUGCACCCAGAGCUAUAAAGGGGUUGUCAAUCCCUUCAAGAUUGAUUGCAAAGUGAGAUCUGAAGGCGGAAAGUGCAACGAAGUAAAAGUGUAAGGCUGAAAAUAUGAAGUGAAGUAGACCCGGGGCCAUAGUGUUCACUAGAGGCUUCUCUCAAAAUAGCAAAUAUUACGGUGGGUGAACAAAUUACUGUCGAGCAAUUGAUAGAACCGCGCAAAGUCAUGACGAUAUCUAAGGCAAUGAUCAUACAUAUAGGCAUCACGUCCGAGACAUGUAGACCGAUAUUUUCUGCAUCUACUACUAUUACUCCACACGUCGACCGCUAUCCAGCAUGCAUCUAGUGUAUUGAGUUCAUGACGAACAGAGUAACACCUUAAGUAAGAUGACAUGAUGUAGAGGGAUAAACUCAAACCAAUGAUGAAAACCCCAUCUGUUUACCCUUGAUGGCAACAACACGAUGCGUGCCUCACUACCCCUUCUGUCACUGGGUGAGGUCACCGCACGGUAUGAACCCAAAACCAAGCACUUCUCCCAUUGCAAGAAUCAUAGAUCAAGUUGGCCAAACAAAACCCACAACUCGAAGAGAAUUACAAGGAUAUGAAAUCAUGCAUAUAAGAGAUCAUAAGAAACUCAAAUAAGAUUCAUAGAUAAUUUGAUCAUAAAUCCACAAUUCAUCGGAUCUCGACAAACACACCGCAAAAGAAGAUUACAUCGGAUCGAUCUCCAUGAAGAUCAUGGAGAACUUUGUAUUGAAGAUCCAAGAGAGAGAAGAAGCCAUCUAGCUACUAGCUAUGGACCCGUAGGCACUGGGAACUGAGUUAAUAGGUUAGUCCCAAAAAAGAUAUAAAAGACAUACAAAACAUCCAAAGUUUGACAAGAUAAUAGCAUGGAACCAUCAAAAAUUAUAGAUACAUUGGAGACGUAUCAGACCCGCACGAUCUAUCUGGAUCUGGCGGCCCCUGCGCUCCCGUCGGCCGCAUCGCCGGUGCCGGCCCCUGUCGACCGCCCGCAUCGUCGGUGCCCGCCACCGUCGGCCGCCCGCUCCGCCGGUUCCAGCCGCCACCUAUCGCCCUCGUCUCCUACUGCCAUGGCAGGGCUCGCGCGUAUACAAGUGUUGCAACCGUCAUCUAAAAAUGCUUCAAACAUUGUUCAAAAAAGCUUCAACCAUAGACAAACAAAGCUUCAAUCGGCUCUGCCCAGCAAGGAAAGCUGCAAUCGUAGUUGCAUUUUUCUACUACCGGCUAACUUUUUUGCUGCAUCCAUCAAGGUGGACCUGCGAUCUAGCGACGGCUGCGAUGAAUUUUUACUGCAACCGUAGUUGCAUUUUGCUAUUAUGAACUUUUUUGCUACAUCCAUCAAGACGGUGUUGCGACCUCGCGACGACGAUGAUGACGAUGAUUUUGCUGCAACCAGGUUUUUGCUGCAUCAGUGACCGAAAUUUGCUACAUCGCUGCUUAUUUUUGCUACAAUCGAUGAUUUUUGCUGCAUGGCUCGAUCUAACGAUCAACAGGGUUCGAUCUGACGACUCGUGCGUGACCGGCCGGAAGUUUAGUCGGCGCGCCGGCGCAGAUCAGUGCCCAUAAGUAAGGCACCUCUACCUCCAACUCUCUCACCUCACCACCUUAUACAUCUGUUUUUAACCCUGCUGAUUCUAACAAUGACUAUCAGAGGGCCUCGCCUUGGUCUCCUGCUAGAAACAUGAGCUCUACGGUAGAUGUUAGAAUUCCUAUGGAAUCCGCAAUGAUGGUGCCAAUUUCCUCUGGAUUAUGGUUGGUGGGGAUACGACAGACAAGCCUGUUGCGCGUGCUCCGCCACAUGGGCUUUGGUGGUCGGUUUGUCAAGUGGAUAUGCAUCCUGCUCUCCUCCACCAGCUCACGGAUCCUUCUCAAUGGCAUUCUCAGUUUUCCCGUUCUUGCAAAAGAGAGGCAUGCUACAGGUAGAGGGGAACCAACUAUUAUUCCUGAUCGCCAUGGAGAUCUUGAAUGUCAUGCUAUGGAAGGCUGAGGUUGUGGGCAUGUUGUCGGUGCUGCCUUGCCACGACGUUCGCUUCCGCACAUCCAUGUACGCUGACUACAUAGCCAUCUUCCUCAAACCGCUCCCGCAAGAUCUUGCGACUGUCCGUGCCUCUUUGGAGUGCUUCGGGGGCGCCUACGGGCUCAGCACCAACCUCAAGAAGUGCUCCCUUUCACUGAUCAGAUGCACCGACACACACAUCACUCGGUCGCCCAGCAAUUCCCUUGUGCAAUUGCAAACUUCCCCUGCACCUACCUCGGGCCACCGUUAUCUUACAAACGUGUGCCCCGCGCCCACCUGCAGCCCAUCAUCGACAAGGUCCUCGAGCGUCUACAGCCUUGGAUCGCUGGCAUGCUCACUUCGGUCGGCCAUCUUUUGCUAAUCCGGACAACCCUCUCCUCUAUACCGAUAUACCACUUCAUCGCCAUGCAACUGCCUAACUGGCUCAUUGAUGACCCACAAUUAUAGGGGAUCAAUCGUAGUAUUUUCAAUAAGUAAGAGUGUCGAACCCAACGAGGAGCAGAAUGAAAUGAUAAGCGGUUUUCAGCAAGGUAUUAUCUGCAAGUGUUGUGAGUAACAGUGAUAGAUAGUUUUUGUAGCAAGAUAAUUGAUAACAAGUAACAUAUAAUAAUAAUAGCAAGUGUGCAUCAAGGUGGCCUAAUCCUUUUUGUAGCAAAAGACAAGGCUCAAAGCUCUCUUAUAUAAAGUAAAUGCUCUUUAGGAUACAUGAGAAUUUUCAUCUAGUCAUGUUCAUCAUGUUGAGUUGAUUCGCGAUCGUUACUUUGAUAAUUUGAUAUGUGUGUGGAUCGAUGCUUAGAUGUUGUUCUUACUUACAAGCGACCUACUUAUGAUUACCCCCUCUCGCAAGCAUCCGCAACUACGAAAGAAGAAUUAAGAUAAAUCUAACCAUAGCAUGAAACAUGUGGAUCCAAAUCAGCCGCUUAUGAAAUAACGCAUAAACCAGGGUUUAAACUUCUUUCACUCUAGCAACCCAUCAUCUACUUAUUGAUCCAUAUUGCCUUCCCUUAGACCCAAGUAUGGUGAAGUGUCAUGUAGUCGACAUUCACAUGAUACCACUAAAGGAAGAAACAACAUACACAUCAUCAAAAUAUCAAACGAAUACCAACUUCACAUGAUUACUUAUAAAAAGACUUUCACAUAUCCCCGAGAACAAAAACAACUACUCACAAAUCAUCAUCAUGUUCAUUAUCAUAGGUAUACCCACUACAAGAAAUAUGUCAACUUGUGACCUUCUCGUAGUGACCCUGGAAGAAAUGGUUGUAAAUAUACGACCAUUUGAAACCAAUUGUUCAUAAGCUGUUCGACGGGCUCCAAACGCUAAACCAUAACGACCAUUUUGGUCAGAAAGGUUGUAAUUUCCUUACACAAAAUGGUCGUAAAGCAGACAACACUAGUCUGUUGCCUUAUUUCUAGCUGAUCAAGACCAAUAUAUAUGGUCAUAGCCUUGUAAGUUGUGGUGCAUUGCUAUGACUAGGCGCCACCUCAUCAGUUUUGCUUAUGUGUCAUGUUCAUGUCUCAAUUUUUGCCCUAGGUUGUGAAGGAGCCUACAUUUCUGUCAUUCCCAAAAUUCCCAAAAAAUUCUCAUAAAUUGUUUGGAUCAUAUCUUCCUCAAAUAUGUCAAAACAUUUCCUUGCCUAGUUCAAAAAUAAUUCAAAAAUAUUCAUUUUCCUAUUUUGUUCAGAACAACACUUUAUGAAGGAACUGUUAUUUAUAUUUUUUGAAUUCCACUCAAUUUUUUUGGGCACUCUUUUAUAUCCAAAUCAUUGCAUCAUGACAAUAUUCAGCUCCAUUUGCCUAUUAAAUCUUCCUGAGCAAAUUUCCUAAGUUUUUGUUUGGCUAGAAUCUUUGUGAAGUAAGUACCAACUAGGCAUAUCCUAAUGAGGUGAAUUUUUUCUACAUAUUCUAUAUGCCCAAAUCAUAGUUCUCCAAAAUAAUUAUACCCAUCUAAUAAUCCAUGUGAGCUCAGCAUCCAAUCUUUGUUUUUGUUAAUAUUUUCAAUUUGUGAAGAAACUAUAUUUCAUAUUGCUUUAUAAUUGCUGGAAAUUUACGAGGACAUGACCCUACCCAUAGGAACUCCAUACACCAAAUUUUAUCUGAUUUUAAUUUAGCCAAUUUUCCUCAAUAUAUUUCCCAAUUUUCUAUUUAGUGGAUAUCGUUAUGAAGGAAAUACCAUUUUUAUUUAUCUAAAUGGUAUGAAAUUUAUGUAGUUCUUUUAUAUGUCGGGAUAAUCAUCCUCCUCCAAAUUGCAGCUCAAUCCAAUCAUCUAUGUGGGCCGAGCAUCAAUUUCUAUUCUCUGUCCAAGGAAGAGCAUUGUAAGGAUGUACCACUUUGGCAUGUCCAAAUGGUAUCAAAUUUGUAGAGUGCCUUACUAUGACCAAAUUACAAUCCUCCACAAAAUUGCAGCUCAAUCCAUUCAGUCAUUUGAGACCAACUUCAACAUUCAUAUUUCUCUCCAGCGUGGUAUGUUGCAAAGCAAGUGCCACCUAGGCUCCUCCAUUUGAGCUAAAAAAUCCCAACACGGUCUCCUUAGUAGAUGAACAUCCUCAGCCAAAACUCAUGCCCAUUGGCCAUAUUCAUUUCCCCCACCGCUAAUCAAACUGAAAAGGAUCGAUAUGGUUGACUAGAGGGGGGGGGGGGGGAAUAGGCAACUAGAUCGAUAUGGUUGACGAGAGGGGGGGGGGGGUGAAUAGGCAACUACCAAUUUUUAACUUUUCUUAAUAAGUUAAGGUUAGCAACAAAAGGUUCUCUAGAUGAACAACUAGGUGAGCAACCUAAAUGAUGCUAACGGCCACAACAACAAGAUCUAGCAAAGAAUACACCACAACAAAAGUAAAUACAAAGUAAAGGUAAGAGAUAACCGCAAGUGGAACCGGUGGAGACGAGGAUAUGUUACCGAACUUCCUUCCCUUUGACAGGAAGUACAUCUCCGUUGGAGCGGUGUGGAGGCACAAUGCUCCCCAAGAAGCCACUAGGGCCAUCGUAUUCUCCUCACGCCCUCACACGAUGCGAGAUGUCGUGAUUCCACUAUUGGUGCCCUUGAAGGUGGCGACUGGACCUUUACAAACAAGGUUGGGGUUAUCUCCACACAAUGCUCAGGGGCUCCCAACAAGAUCGCGAAGCUUCACCACAAUGGAUAUGGCUCCGAGGUGACCUCAACUGUCUAGGGUGCUCAAACAACCAAGAGUAACAAGAUCCGCAAGGGAUUGGUAGGGGGAAGCAAAUAUCUCUUGGUGGAAGUGUAGAUGAGGGCCUUCUCAACUAAUCCCUAGAAAAUCAACAAGUUUGAUUUUAUAGGGAGAGAGAUCGGGCAAGAAUGAGCUUUAGAGCAACAAUGGAGCUUGGGGAGGUAAGAGGUGCCUAUUCUGAGGAAGAAGACACCCUUAUAUAGUGGGGGGCAAAUCCAACCGUUACCCCCACUCACAACCUUUUGGAGAGCGGUACUACCGCUGCAAGGAGUGGUACCACCGCUUGGCAGGCUCACCUACCACGGUAGUAAAAAAUUACUACCGUGGCUACCACUGCUUGGGGAAAAGAUGUGCAAAAAAGUCCGACGAAGCGGUAGUAAAAAAUUACUACUGCACCUGGAGCGGUACUACAACCCUGAGCGCGGUAGUAAGAAAUUACUACCGCGUCGAGAGCGGUACUACCGCUAGAACUUUUGCACCGACUUGAAAUGGCAGGGUUGGAGCUCCAUUGGCAAGGGAAAGGUCGUGCAAAGAAAUGUGUACGUGUUGAUUCCACCCAAACCUUUCAGAUGCGGACCCCCUCUUAAUAAUACGGCUUUCCUACAACACAAAUCCACCACAGAAAAUCGUAGAAGACCAUCGUUCUUGAAAUACACCGAGGGGCACCGAAUCGUCUUGUGCCUAAUCAUAUAUUAUCUGAAAUGCUCAAUGCACACGAUUAGUCCACAGAGGUACCGUCAUCAAUUACCAAAACCACUUAGGGAGAAAUAUGCCCUAACAAUCUCCCCCUUUUUGGUGAAUUGAUGACAAUACAGGAUUUGCACAAAACUAUAUAUGAAAAGCAUAUGCAAACCCAAGAUCUAUAAACUAGAGACAGGCUCCCCCUGGAUGUGUGCAUAUAUUUAAAGUAAUGCCUUGGACAGCAAAACACACAUCCUAGGAGAGGCACUCCCCCUAGAGGUUAUAGGUGAGGCACUCCUUGCAUCAACAUGAUAAGAAAAUUAAAUGUGGAAGCAAGGCAUAGCAUGUGAUUAUGAAGAUAAGGGCACAAGAUAAAUAGACUCACAAGCUACUACCAGGCUAAAUAAUAGAGAGACAAUAAAGAUAAUAGUAGGGAUAGCAUAUGUCUCACACCAUGUGAUCACGAAUGAAACCAGGUCCCACACACAUAAAAAAACAUCCAACUGACAACGAAAGCUUAGCAACAAAACAAACACAAAAACAUAGGGAAAGCAAAUCCUACUCUCUCUCCCCCUUUGGCAUCAGGACACCAAAAAGGCAGAGAGGACACCUAAUGACACAGGUGGUAGCUCGGCAUGUAGAGAGAUCAGCCAUCUGACUCCUCAUCAGUCUCCUCAUUAGUCGCCUCAUCAGUCUCCUCAGCCGCCUCCUGGUUAGACUCAGCCCACUGCAGGUUCUUGUUCUGCAGCCAAUCAAACUAUGGAGUGACUACCUCCUCAGAUCCGCUGGAUAUGUGCACGUCAAGCUUCCUCAUGAUCAGUUUGUCACGCCUACGGCUCUCCUUCUGUGCGACAUGAGAGUUGUACUGCCCAUGAGCCUACAUGCAGAAUAAGUUCUUCAUCUCGUACUUCAGCUUCUUAGCCCCAGAUGGCUCAGCAGAGGACUGCUCACGUAUCGCUGGGAUGUCCUUAGCCUCAGCCUCAACCUCAUCAUCAUUGAUCUUCGUGUGUGCAGCAGUGCGGGUCGUGGAGGUGUUAGACCACUUGUUCUUCUGACGCAUCUUGAUAGGUUCAUGGCGAAGCCAGGCAGGUAAUUGAAAGGGAACAUUUGGAAAGGCAUGUGUUCACUUCUCCCUCAUAAAGUAGAACAUGUAAGGCCCAUAGAUGGGGACCUUACGGUUGAAUACUACCGAGUGAAUUUCUCUCCACAUAACAUGGGACACAUCAAGUGGCCCAGAGUCACGAGUCCAGCCUUUCUGACACAUGGUGAGCAUAUCAACCAAAUAAGAGUGUACUUGAUCCUUGUUACCAACCCGAGGAAAUAGUGUGUAGCGGAAUAUCCUGUGCGUGACAUCCAGAGAGUCACUAAGCACAAAGGAAGACUCACCGGUGGCAGACUUCUUCUUGACAUAAAUUUCAUCAACUGCUCCUUAGGGGUGGCAUCGGGCUUAGCAUGUGGGCGUAAACCCACUAGGUUGUCAAGCCCCUCAUCACGAAUAUUCAGAAGAUCCACGAAUUCCUUCCAGGAGCCAGAUAACUGUUCUCCAUUGGUCAUCCAGGUCAUAGUGCGCUCAUCAUCAGGAUGGAAGUGAACAGACACAAAGAACUGUGCCACAAUCUCUAGGUCGAAGUCAAGAUGAAAAGUGAUGAUGUCCUCAAUUCCCAUCUGCUUCACCAUGUCCAGAGCCUCGCCAAACUAGGGAAGGUCCUUCCUGAGAUGGUUUAGAUCAAUCCAUUAACAUGGGACAUAGGGGUUCUUCUUGGUCAAAAUGAUAUCUUGGUACAUGAGGACCUGCUGCUUAGACCAGAACUUCUCACACCCCUUGGCACAAACUCUUUCAUUUUCAUAUGGAUUUUUCUUCCUACGAGAAAUAAACUCCGAGAGUGGCAUGGUUUCAUAGCAGACGCUGGCUUCCUUGCUCUUGGAUGUAGUCCUCUUGAAACUGCACUUUGGAGGGUCAGAGCCUUCAGCAGCAUUAGGAUUGCGCGACCUCUUGGAUAUGUUGUCUUGUGGCGCCUUUGAUCGAUGGGAGCCACCACCUAUGACACGCAACGCAAACACAAA
RNAcentral lists this long non-coding RNA (17928 nucleotides) under Hordeum vulgare. RNAcentral describes it as "long non-coding RNA (HVUL_LNC012893)". Lineage: Eukaryota; Viridiplantae; Streptophyta; Magnoliopsida; Poales; Poaceae. The record is from RNAcentral.